AGCUUUGCCCAGUGGCAGUAUCAUAGCCAAUGAGGUUUAUCUGAGGCAUGAUUAUUGCUACUUGAAAAAUUCCAUAAGACUCAGCUAUCCCCCUUCCAGGUAUCUUCUCCAAAGAGUUUAAGACAUCAUACUGU
RNAcentral lists this small nuclear RNA (134 nucleotides) under Chinchilla lanigera (long-tailed chinchilla). Its description in RNAcentral is "U4 spliceosomal RNA (ENSCLAG00000020731.1)". The stretch from base 1 to 82 matches the Rfam family "U4 spliceosomal RNA". Rfam says of the family: U4 small nuclear RNA (U4 snRNA) is a component of the major U2-dependent spliceosome. The structure of U4 snRNA from yeast and human has been reported. U4 snRNA presents a k-turn RNA motif in the 5p-SL related to recognition of Snu13 protein. Lineage: Eukaryota; Metazoa; Chordata; Mammalia; Rodentia; Chinchillidae. The record is from RNAcentral.